Molecule: long non-coding RNA, 1036 nt
Filed under: Vombatus ursinus (common wombat)
Lineage: Eukaryota; Metazoa; Chordata; Mammalia; Diprotodontia; Vombatidae
Description: lncRNA (ENSVURG00010017030.1)
Source: RNAcentral
UUUGCAUUAUUUAUGCGUUAUUUUUGACUAUACCUACUUGAGUAGCUGUUGUAGUCCCCACUGCCACAAUAAGCUUUCGGAGGUUUGUUUUAUUUUUUGCAUCCCCGGAGCCUAGCAUAAGGCCUUGCACAUGGUAGGAGCUUACUGUUUGACUGGAAGCUGUAUUUUUAACGGGCCCAUUCCUGGGGCCGACGUCACCAACGGUGAGUUAUCCCGUUAGAGCCUACGGAGAUCUCCCGUUUCAUUCCAGCCCCGGCCCAGAGAUAGAGCCACGGCUGGAACCCACUCCCAGAGGGCUUUCCGCCGCACGCCGCGGCCGCACAGCCUCUCAAAUAUCCAGCAGCGCCUUCCAGGUCCGAGCCGGCGCCGCGAUGUCCCCGUCAUCUCCUCCCCGCCACCCCCCGCCCUCAUUGCCAGGGACUCAGAGCGGGAGGAUGGAUCUCGGUCACAGAGCACUUUUACUUUUCUAGAUUCCCUCCGCGUCUCUGCGGUUUGGGUGUUUCCAUAGUAACGCAGUCUUCCGGUCCGGCAGUACCUUGACGCCCCGCCCCCCAACCUUUGUCCAUCGGUUCUCCCCGCCCCCUGCGGGUUUUGUCCCCUCCUUGACGUCGAGCCGCCAGUGACGCAGGUUACAAGGCCCGCCCUCCUGCGCGCCGGCCAAUGCUCCGUCGGCGUAGCGAGGAGCAGCAGGUCCUCUCAAGUUGGCAGUGCGGCGGGCGGCUCGCGUGCUGAUUGGUGGGCGCGGAAGUCCGUCCGUGCUGGGCGGCGUUCUGCUGGGGAGCCCGGAAAGAUGGUGGCCGAACGCAACAAUCGGCUCAUUGGUGAAAACACGGACUGAGCUCCUGAGGUGAAGCAGCCCUUAAUCCUUUCAGGCCUUCUAGACCCGCUGUUUCCACAUGGCCCUAACCGCCCUGAAGGAGCUCCAGGCUGGGGACCAUGCCCCCUUGCUAGUCUUUGAGGUGGGCAGGAACUCCCAGUUGGACUCCCUGAGCUACCAGUCCCUCGGCAUGCGGCGAGUCUUCGUGAGGUUCCCAGA